Molecule: non-coding RNA, 134 nt
Filed under: Ditylum brightwellii
Lineage: Eukaryota; Bacillariophyta; Thalassiosirophyceae; Lithodesmiales; Lithodesmiaceae
Source: RNAcentral
AAGCUAAAGGUGUCGCUGUCAUAGUAGAUGUACCAAACGAACAAGAAAAAAAUAAUGAAUCAUCUAUACUGGAAAAAGGAUCUUCUUCCUUAUCUUCCUCACCCUUCUUUUUCUGGUCUUUUUUAGUUGUUGUU